RNAcentral lists this unclassified non-coding RNA (181 nucleotides) under uncultured Acremonium. RNAcentral describes it as "sequence contains ITS2". Lineage: Eukaryota; Fungi; Ascomycota. The record is from RNAcentral.
CAACCCUCGUCCCCCCUGUGCCUCACGGCGCUUGGGGGGCGGUGUUGGGGAUGGGCCUGCCCUAGGGCCGGCCCGCCCCUAAAUGUAGUGGCGACCACGCCGUAGCCUCCUCUGCGUAGUAGUAACUCACCUCGCGGGCGGAGAGCGGUGCGGUCCGCCGUAAAACCCCCUACUUUCUCAA